Long non-coding RNA from Cercocebus atys (sooty mangabey), 4611 nucleotides. NCBI's taxonomy places the organism in Eukaryota, Metazoa, Chordata, Mammalia, Primates, Cercopithecidae. The record is from Ensembl.
CAAAAAUAAGUGCUAGUUUCCUAACGGCCUCCUGAGAUGAACCGGGUCCGUGCUGCGUAAUUUACUUCACGCUCAGCACCCUGUGAGCAUUCCACAGUCCAGGGUGCUGCAGUUCAAAGGUUAUAUGACUUGCUAAAAUCUUCGGGUUAAGAAGAGGCCAAGGUGGGCUUUGGAUGAGCUGCAUCUGCCUCCUGAACACAAGGGUUCAUCUGCUGCUCUCUCGCUUCCUCCAGCAAUGGCCCUGAGCUGAGAGGGAGCAUGUGAGUUCGCGCAAGUUUCAAGAAGGGAGGAGCCUGCUCCUCCCGGAGGCCCAGCCCCAGCAACACCUGCUGAGCAACGAGAUUCCAUGAACGCUACACGCGGACCUGAGUUGGAACCUGGCCUCUCUUGACACGGUGAUCAAUUUGACGUUAAAAUUUGGCCCAAGAAACUGACAAUCAAAGGGACCAGGCAGAGACGACAGAUGGAAAGCAGACAGGGCCUGGAGAUCAGCAGCCCUAGGCCCUGACCCAAACCCUCAGCGUUGUAAAGGUAAGGCCACCACCAGGGUCAAGCCUCCUUCCGUUAGGAAAAUAAAAACAGAAGGAAUUGUGCUCUCUGGAGGGCAGGGCUCUGAGUACAGAGUCUCAUGUUUUCAAAGUCGGAAAGUGUCCACAGUUAAUAUUUGGAUGGGCCCACAGUGCCCGUCUUGCUCGCCGGAGCCCAGGCCUGUCCCAUCACAGACAAAGGGCUCUUGCUGUGCACCUGUGGAGAGGGGAGCUUGGCUGGGGGAAGGCAGGGUCAGCCUCUUUGUGCUCUUUGUGUUUGAAGCAGAGUUUUGCAAAGGGAGUGGUUCUGGAAGAAAAGCAGAGCGUGGAGUGUCAGAGGCUGGAGUGUUGUGAAAGGCAUAAGCCCUGGAGACCCUCUGUAACUGGCCUUCACACACGCCUGCCGCCAACGACAACACUGAACCGCGGAAGCGGGGUGUUUGCCAGCUCACGAGACGGGGAGACAUGAAGCUUCCACCAGCAGAGGAGCUGGAGGGGAAACAGAAAGAAAGAACUGAGUCUAGCAGCCUCCUUGGACAUUUCUUCCAACGCCUCCAGCCCAGCACAACAAACAACCUCGGGGCAUCCGGCCCGUGCCGCGCCCUGGCACACCCAACUCUGCCCUGCUCCAAGAGCCCACAGAGGGCCUCCGGGUCACACUCAAGCUGCCGUAAUGAAACAGAUGACGCACGACAGAUCACAAUAUGAAAUUCAGAAACAAAUUUAGGUACGUAUCAUAAUUUAGUUAUUAUAACGGCAUUUAAACACCAAAUACAUGGUGGCACAAUAGUUCACUAAUCAUUUGGAGCACAGCCCGGGCGGACGCCUCUGCUGUGUUCCCACCGUCAGGCGACAGAACACGCAGGGAGUCACCCGGGUUGCCCCACUAGUUUUCCCACUGAUCCUGAAGCUGGCUGAGAGCAGAGACCAGCUAGAGUUCAACUCCUUGUCCCCAUCGUUCCAUAUGCCUUCCACAGAGGAUGCACUAAAUUCUCGCCGAAGGAAUAAAUGACAUUUUAACCUCUUCAUGGCAUCGUUUGGGCCCGGGAGGCACACAUCUCUUAGAUAGCUGCCCUUUAUGGCAGGUCACAAGUGAUGCACGUCUGAGCUGAGAAGUCGACGUCCCACUUCUCCUUCGUUUUCUUGGCCAUCCCUGAAGCCCUGCUAGGUCUAUGUUAGAAUCCUAAUGAAACUUUUGCUUUUGCUCACUCAAUAAGCACAAAUAAUAAUAAUGUAAAUAUUUACAACCUAUAAAGUGUCCACAUUUUCCUGGACCUUAUGGAUAUAUUAUAGAAGCAUAUGUAUAAUAUAAUCUUAGUGGAGAUUUUGAAUAGAAGAGGUAGAGAAAACAAGAAUUUGCCUAGUAAUUUACAUUGUUAUUUUUUUCUUAUGUGACCAGUGAGCAAACUAAGCCUGAUUGAUAAACAUGAGAUGAGGUGACAGAUCUCAUGGUUGUAAAUGAAAACACUGUGAUUCAAACUCAAGCGACUGAAGUAAGUUUCUUUUUCAGCUGAAGCACUGCUGCUAGAAAAAAUCAGCCAUUACUGAUCCAUGUCUUAGUCUGUUUGGGCUGCUAUAACGAGAAUGCCUCAGACUGGGUAAUUUAUAAGGAAGAGAAAUGUAUUUCCCACAGUUCUGGAGGCUGGGAAGUCUAACAUCAAGGUGCUCGCAGGGUGGUGUUUAGUGAGGGCUGCUCUCUCCUUCCAAUACGGCACCUACCUUCUCACUGUGUCCUCACAUGGCAGAAGAAAUGGAAGAGUAAAUUCACUUCCUCAAGCCCUUUUUAAAGGGAGUUAAACUCACCUGCGGGGCAGAGCCCAUGACCUAAUUACCUUCCAGAAGCUUCACCUCGUCAUACCAUAACUUUCGGGUUUACGAAAUUUGAAUUUGAAAUACGAAUUCUGGAGGGAUACCAACUUUCAGGCUGUAAUGAACUAUGUCAACAAAGGAAUAACAGCGUAUUUGAAAUAAUGUAAUUAUCACUUUCAGCAGCCAUUAGCCCCAAUACUUACUACAAAUGCGAUUAGAAGUUUGAAACCUCUGGCAUUUGGUCUUGCUUUAUGUAAGUUUUCUACUUGACAAUAUUUGAGAAAAAUAAGAUACCUUCUGUCUCACAUAAAACACAUUUUAUAUGAGUUUAAGAAAUCAACCACAUAUAGCUGAGAAAAGACUAACAUUACUAAAAUGUUUAAAUGAUUUGUUUUUUUGUAAUUACGUAAGUAAUAUAUCUUCAGUUUAGAAAAUAUUAAAAAGAUAAAGAUAAGAAAAGAUAACAAUAAGUCUCACAUAAUCCUGCCACCAGUGAUAAUUGCAGGCAACAUUCUGGUACAUGUGGAACGAAUAUAUGUUGAAUGAAAAAAUGAGUUUUCUUCCAGUCUUUGUUCUAAGUAUGUAUGUGUAUGUUGUUUACACAUUGAACUCAUAUCACAUUAAGUUCUCAGGCUUUUCUUUUUCCGUGUAACAUCUCUCAAGUGUAGCAAUGUGAAUUGCAGCCUACAGCUUAGGAAAGUGAGAAAUAUAACUUUCCUUUUCUUAUCACACUUAUUUCUAUUUUAGCCCUCAUCUGACAGGGCAGCAGCAGAUUCAUCUCAUGAGUGAAAACAUUCUCUUCCUGAAAUUUGUCUAUUGCUGGGGGUAGUCGAGGCAGCAAGGCCACUGAGGCCCUAGAGCUCCCUCCUCCGGGGUCCAGGGUCUGUCUGGUGUCACUGUGAGUCCCCUUCUCCCCGGGGUUGCAGGCAAAGACCAGGGCACUGGGGCGCUUGGGCCUUUUGGACUUCUCAGGACUCAGGGCAGAGGGUCCUGCUGACGGGACCCGCUGAUGUACCCUAGAAAAUAAUGCUACCGCAGUGAGCUUUCUGUGAAAUCUGUCAGAAGUUCCAUUAUUUGCUAUGGUAGAUUCAGAAGUGGAAUUACCAAGUCAAAGGGUUAAGGCUCUUGAUACACAUAUCAAGUUGCUCUCCAGAGAAUGCCAACCUAAAGCUGUGACUGCAGCUGCCUACAGCAGUCUAGCAGGCAUGAUCAUUCAUGGUGGCCUUUCUUCAACUCCUCCAAUACAUUCCACGAAGACGUGAUUUUUGUCUGUUCACCUACAGAGUUCCAUUUCUUUCAGUUAGAAGGUCAACUGUUAUUGAGAACUCAUUAAAUGCAAAGCAUGUAUCAUUGGAAAAACUCCAAGCCUCAGUUUUUCAUCUUCAAAAGAGGUAUUAGGUUGAUGCACUUACUUAAUUCAGACUUUUGCCAUUACUUUUGAUGGCAAAAACUGCAAUUACUUUUGCACCAAAAUUACUUUUGUGACCACCCCGCCUGCCCACAUCACGCUCACAGGAGAGUUCAGGACACGGCAUGUUCUAACUGAUGAGAUGAACCUGCUGUUGCCCUGUCGGAUGAGGGCUAAAGUAAAACAGAUCCGGACUCCCCUGCAAAAAUGAGGGCAGAGGCCACUGGCAGGGACACAGACAACCGCUGAUUCUCUCUACAAAACUUGGUCACUGGGAAAGUUGGGGGCUAUGGAAACCCCACAGAAUCUUUGUGCAGAGCAUUCUUGAAGUCCACCUAAUCCGAGCCUUCCUGUUACAGGGGAAGAAACAGCAGAGCGACAAGGUGACCAUGAGUCGGGGUGCAGCCUGGCCUGGACCACUGUCCUCAUCAAGGUCUGGAUUCUUUCCAUCCACCCUCACAGCGGCUUGACCUCAGCCUCCAGGAGCUGUGCUCCUAUUACCAGUCCUCAGACACGGGCCCUGGGUUGCCAUAUUCACCCCCUCAUCCCAGGGGUCACACGGCUCAGGCCACCUAGACCUGCUGCUAGGACAGCUGGCCCUCAUCCCUGCCCCAGGACAGACAGGCGCUCAGCAGAAAGGCCGCCAGGCUCUUCAGAACUUCUCUCUGCACUGGGCUCAAGUGGCCGUACCAGGCAAGAGCAGGACCGUCUCUGUCUUCGUGUUCAUGCUGCAACAUUUCCUGCUUUCCAUUAAUUGCAUCUAAGUGGAGCGUUUAACGAAUUAAAAGAAUUUCCAGCACCACUCCUGGCUUAACCCUGUUUACCUCUUGUUUAACAUACUGAUUUGGAUUUAGGGUGGUUUUUUAA